CGGGCUGGAAUAUUAUUGCCAUCUUUUCGCGGGGCUGCUGAAAGUACUUUUCAAAUAACAACAACAGAUGAAGAAAAUACGCGUGGCGGGACGACAGGCCGGAGAGGCACGGCGGCCUGCAAAUGAGGGCGACGAGUGGACAACAAAGAAAAAAAAACUCAUCACGUCAACUUUAUUUGUGUGUGUUUGGUUAGCAGUGACUUUGUUAGCAGAGGUGCUCCGGAUCGGCUGCGGUGGUGGUCCCGGUGCAUGCUGCGAUGUGACGCCGCUUCCCCCUGCUCGCGUCCGGGCCGGCUAACUCGCUAAGGACACGAUCCAUGUCCACAUCUCCACGGUCACAGGACUCGGCUUAGUGCGGUAGCCGCGGCGCUCGGUGUGAUUUUCAUGCUUGUGGCUCAUAUUCAACCCCGGGUGUCAAAAUCGCGCCGAUGGAGGCAUAGUGACGCGCAUUAUGUGCACCUUGUCCCGCGCCACAAACUUUCACAAGCUGGACUCGAAGCCGUGCACGCGAGCUGCUCCGCGUGAGGACAUUUGGAUGUAGCCACGCACGCGCGCACACGCAGGACCCUGCUUGGCCACACAGUGCGGCAGCACACACGGAGGGAGCAUACGCAUCA
This is a long non-coding RNA of Hippocampus zosterae (dwarf seahorse), 617 nucleotides long. RefSeq lists it as uncharacterized. Lineage: Eukaryota; Metazoa; Chordata; Actinopteri; Syngnathiformes; Syngnathidae. The transcript has 4 exons. The record is from RefSeq and is a predicted model, not a curated record.